UUCUAUCAUCAGCCGAAUCACAGCAAUGUGUACGGGGGAACUUCGCUUGUCGUCUGUUCAAGGCAAGCUUGGGGUGAAGCGAGAAUGGCCCAGCCAUUCUCCCGGGCGUCUUCGUCGUCCGAAUCCGACAACUAACCUCGGAGGCAUUCCACGAAAGGAUGA
RNAcentral lists this small RNA (162 nucleotides) under Paenalicyclobacillus ferrooxydans. RNAcentral describes it as "Alicyclobacillus ferrooxydans c-di-AMP sequence". It matches the Rfam family "c-di-AMP riboswitch aptamer (ydaO/yuaA leader)". Rfam says of the family: This family represents a conserved RNA structure found upstream of the ydaO and yuaA genes in Bacillus subtilis and related genes in other bacteria. The ydaO/yuaA element is thought to act as a genetic "off" switch for the ydaO and yuaA genes in its native state. The record is from Rfam by way of RNAcentral. Lineage: Bacteria; Bacillati; Bacillota; Bacilli; Caryophanales; Alicyclobacillaceae.